GUCAGUGUAGUAUAGUGGUUUGAGUGUUAGACUAUGACUCUGGAGACCAGGGUUUCAAUCCCUGUUCAGUCA
This is a non-coding RNA of Phrynosoma platyrhinos (Desert horned lizard), 72 nucleotides long. NCBI's taxonomy places the organism in Eukaryota, Metazoa, Chordata, Lepidosauria, Squamata, Phrynosomatidae. The record is from the annotation of a GenBank genome assembly.